CACCGGCAGCUCAAGUGGUAGCCGCUUUUAUUGGGCCUAAAGCGUCCGUAGCCGGUCUGAUAAGUCUCUGGUGAAAUCCCACAGCUUAACUGUGGGAAUUGCUGGAGAUACUAUCAUGACUCGAGGUCGGGAGAGGCUGGAGGUACUCCCAGGGUAGGGGUGAAAUCCUGUAAGCCUGGGAGGACCACCUGUGGCGAAGGCGUCCAGCUGGAACGAACCUGACGGUGAGGGACGAAAGCCAGGGGCGCGAACCGG
RNAcentral lists this ribosomal RNA (255 nucleotides) under uncultured archaeon. Its description in RNAcentral is "partial 16S ribosomal RNA". It matches the Rfam family "Archaeal small subunit ribosomal RNA", at positions 474 to 727 of the family's 1478-position model. The record is from RNAcentral.